Molecule: ribosomal RNA, 449 nt
Filed under: uncultured bacterium
Lineage: Bacteria
Description: partial 16S ribosomal RNA
Rfam family: Bacterial small subunit ribosomal RNA
Source: RNAcentral
AGCGAACGCUGGCGGCAGGCCUAACACAUGCAAGUCGAACGGACCUUUCGGGGUUAGUGGCGGACGGGUGAGUAACACGUGGGAACGUGCCUUUAGGUUCGGAAUAGCUCCUGGAAACGGGUGGUAAUGCCGAAUGUGCCCUUAGGGGGAAAGAUUUAUCGCCUUUAGAGCGGCCCGCGUCUGAUUAGCUAGUUGGUGAGGUAAUGGCUCACCAAGGCUACGAUCAGUAGCUGGUCUGAGAGGAUGACCAGCCACAUUGGGACUGAGACACGGCCCAAACUCCUACGGGAGGCAGCAGGGGGGAAUCUUGCGAAAUGGGCGAAAGCCUGACGCAGCCUUGCCGCGUGGAUGAUGAAGGUCUUAGGAUUGUAAAAUCCUUUCACCGGUGAAGAUAAUGACUGUAGCCGGAGAAGAAGCCCCGGCUAACUUCGUGCCAGCCGCCGCCGUAA